Molecule: long non-coding RNA, 644 nt
Organism: Asparagus officinalis (garden asparagus)
Lineage: Eukaryota; Viridiplantae; Streptophyta; Magnoliopsida; Asparagales; Asparagaceae
Exons: 3
Source: RefSeq, a predicted model, not a curated record
UUUACCAAGGGAAAAGGCCCAUCCACACUUACCCCUGUUUAAUUGAAAAUUAGGGUUCGCGCCAGUCAUGUUACGGCAAUUUGGGGGCGCUUUUAGUCACGAGACUACAACCUACAAUCGCAAAUCCAACCAUCUCAAUAUGCUAUGGAACUAUUUGCAGGUUUGCCAUCAGAAUUUCAGUUUUCAGCGGCUAUCGACUCUGAGAGUUCUACAACAUCCUAAUGAGGCAUUCAGGUUUCCAUUAACUUUGUCAAGAGGAUAAAGCAUUCGGCGGCCACGUGAGCUGUGGUGUAAAGAGAGUUUGGGCUUCUAAAGUUAAAUGAAGCAUAAGUUUUGAACAUGAAAGUGGUGUAAGCGUUUGGCAAAGUUUGAAGGGGACACACAUGUUUAUAUCUUUGGAUAAGAGAAGUGGCAUCAAUAGCCACAUGGUUGGGCCAUGACGCUUUCUUUUGCGUCUGUGUACGUGGCAGAGCUUUCUAGACCUCAUUUGGCUUUGCAGUUAAGUUUUCUUGAUAGUUAAAAGUUUUUGAAUGUAGUAGAAGAAAUGUUAAAUUGAGAUCAUUUGGUUUUGUCAUGGUGUAUCAUCAUUUGCGCAACCAUGUGAAUGUAAACGUAUUUCAUUGUAAAUCUAGCGAGUAUCAUUC